This is a non-coding RNA of Polyodon spathula (Mississippi paddlefish), 258 nucleotides long. NCBI's taxonomy places the organism in Eukaryota, Metazoa, Chordata, Actinopteri, Acipenseriformes, Polyodontidae. The record is from RefSeq and is a predicted model, not a curated record.
CAUGUGCAGUCCUUCACGUGUGCCCUUUGUAAUAUUCUGCACUUGGGGUUUAUAAGGACUGCAAAGAGAAAAAAAAGGAAGCUUAGGCGUGACUGCAGAAGCAGCAGCUCCACGUGCGAUGUUUCUUUGACACUCCCAUCCUGUUUCCACGGUGAUGACAGAUUCACCGGUUUUGUCAUCCAUCAGGUAACAGGUAAUAAAGCUUCUGCACUGUGAUAAUUUUUAAUGUUUCACCAAACACUUAAAACUGCCACACUU